This 303-nucleotide ribosomal RNA is filed under the name uncultured bacterium. RNAcentral describes it as "partial 16S ribosomal RNA". It matches the Rfam family "Bacterial small subunit ribosomal RNA", at positions 507 to 807 of the family's 1533-position model. The record is from RNAcentral.
AGCAGUAGCCACGGUAAAACGUAGGGUGCAAGCGUUAAUCGGAAUUACUGGGCGUAAAGCGUGCGCAGGCGGUUAUAUAAGACAGAUGUGAAAUCCCCGGGCUCAACCUGGGAACUGCAUUUGUGACUGUAUAGCUAGAGUACGGCAGAGGGGGAUGGAAUUCCGCGUGUAGCAGUGAAAUGCGUAGAUAUGCGGAGGAACACCGAUGGCGAAGGCAAUCCCCUGGGCCUGUACUGACGCUCAUGCACGAAAGCGUGGGGAGCAAACAGGAUUAGAUACCCCCGUAGUCCCUGUCUCUUAUAC